UAGGGAAUCUUCGGCAAUGGACGAAAGUCUGACCGAGCAACGCCGCGUGAGUGAAGAAGGUUUUCGGAUCGUAAAACUCUGUUGUUAGAGAAGAACAAGGACGUUAGUAACUGAACGUCCCCUGACGGUAUCUAACCAGAAAGCCACGGCUAACUACGUGCCAGCAGCCGCGGUAAUACGUAGGUGGCAAGCGUUGUCCGGAUUUAUUGGGCGUAAAGCGAGCGCAGGCGGUUUCUUAAGUCUGAUGUGAAAGCCCCCGGCUCAACCGGGGAGGGUCAUUGGAAACUGGGAGACGUGAGUGCAGAAGAGGGGAGUGGAAUUCCAUGUGUAGCGGUGAAAUGCGUAGAUAUAUGGAGGAACACCAGUGGCGAAGGCGGCUCUCUGGUCUGUAACUGACGCUGAGGCUCGAAAGCGUGGGGAGCAAACAGG
RNAcentral lists this ribosomal RNA (429 nucleotides) under Gemmatimonadota bacterium. Its description in RNAcentral is "Gemmatimonadetes bacterium partial 16S ribosomal RNA". It matches the Rfam family "Bacterial small subunit ribosomal RNA", at positions 355 to 776 of the family's 1533-position model. The record is from RNAcentral. Lineage: Bacteria; Pseudomonadati; Gemmatimonadota.